Molecule: RNA transcript, 2359 nt
Organism: Daktulosphaira vitifoliae (grape phylloxera)
Lineage: Eukaryota; Metazoa; Arthropoda; Insecta; Hemiptera; Phylloxeridae
Gene name: sodium channel protein Nach-like
Exons: 13
Source: RefSeq, a predicted model, not a curated record
ACAUAUUUCUAUGAAAUAACUUUUUUCGUAUGUGUUGGAAUAAAAAUUUAGGCAAAUAAUAUAAAGUCAAUUUUUUUAAGUGUGUUUAGUCUUCGCUAAAAUCAUGACAUAAAUUUAUUAUACUUAAUGCCGUAAAAAAACUUAAAUGUUCAUAAGGUUCAUAUUCUAUACAAUUUAAAAAUAAAUAUAUUCUAAACCACCUACUAUAAAAUUAAAACAAAAGAAAAAUCACGUCCAUCACAAAGAUAUUGGUCAACAAAUUAUAAUAAAUCAGUUUAAUAUAUAGUGAUCAAUUCACCUUAACAAUAUCAAACAUGUAUGAGUUUUAACAAAGGAAAAUAAAAGAAUUAUUUUAUUUACUGACAGAAAAUCAAUAAAAAAAACAAUAAAAUAUUACCUCUUAAAAAUAAUUACUCAGAAUGUAAACUUUUACCGAUUGUAGAAAUUGUGGCUUUUGGAAAGCUAGAAAUAGUAAAAAAAUUCCAAAUAAAUUUUGCUAUUAGUAAUCAAAUACUGUGCAAAGUUUUUAAAUUCACAAUUGUCAUAAUGUCAUCAUGCACGUAUAAUUAUAUAAAGGAUUGUAAUUAUUGUUGAAAGCUUUUGCGAAUUCGAUAAAAAACUGCGAUAAUACGUAAUGUAGCCAAGUCAAUUAUUUAUUUGGUCAAAUUAAAGCUGUUUAGUCAUGAGUAGAAUAUGGACGUACUUCAAGAAUAGCACAAUUCAUGGAUUUAAUUAUAUUGCGGACGAAAAGCGACACUGGACCGAAAGAAUAUUUUGGAUAUUAACGUGUUUGAUAUCAGGCUUUGCUACUUGGCAAUACUUGGACGCUACUUGGUACGCUUAUAAACAUAAUGCGGUUAGUUUUGUGUCAGACACAACUUAUUUACAUUGGAAUACUAGUUUUCUUUCAUUGUCAGUAUGCGAACAAGAAUCACCAGAUAGAUUAUAUGAUUCAGCCACUAAACUGUUUGGAUCAAACCGAGACUCAAGUGUAGAUUUUUAUCUGAGAGAUAUUGCUUUCUACGAUGGCGCUUGUUACUCGUGUGUCACUCACUGCCUGAAAGAAUCGGUGAAUUGCUCAACAGAUUUUGCAACCAUAAUACGUGAAAUUCGAGCAAAUUGCAAAGACCUAAUAGGAAAUUGCAUUUGGAACAACGAAACGUUCGAGUGUUGUGAACAGUUUUUACCAAUAACUACGGAAAAUGGCGUGUGUUUCACGAUAAAUUCUUUACAUACUGUCAAGCGCAAUGAAGAAAAACUGAAAAUGAUAUCAAACAAAGAACUAGGACCAGGAAGACUUUCAUUUACUGCAUUUGAAUCUAUAAAACUGUAUAUUCAUGCGCCGGAAGACAUACCAUACGUCAAUCAUCCAGAAGAAGAGAAGUUUGUACUCAGCUGGGGUGUAUCGUUUCUUUUAACAUAUCAGGUAAAAGAAAUAGAAAACGAUCCAAUAUUAAAAGAUGUUGACAUUGCUCAGAGAAAUUGUCGAUUUCCUGAUGAAAAUGAUUUAGACGUUUACAGUGUUUACAGUAAUUCAGCAUGUAUUGUCAAUUGUAGGGCUCAUGCACAACUAGAUCUAUGCAAUUGCACUCCACACUAUUUAAGAAUUCCUGGAACACCAAUAUGCGAAGUUGAAGGACUAGGAUGUAUAACUAAACACGCAGAAUUAUUUAGAGCACUAAAAACUAGUGAUUUCAACAAACUAGGACUUGUCUGUGAUUGUAUAUCUAGCUGUACUGAACCAGAAUAUAAUGUUUUAUCUACAGAAGUUGGAUCAUUGAGCGAUGAUCCAAAUAAUGAAGAGGGUAAUUAUGGUUCCAAGGUCGUAAUCGCUUUGGAUAGACUUCCAAAUGAAAGACUUAAAAGAAAUGUUGUUCGAUCUAGAAUGGAUCUAAUUGUAUCAUUUGGAGGAACUUUGGCUUUAUUCUUGGGAGUCAGCCUGUUGAGUAUUGUUGAAAUAUUCUACUACUUUCUCAUAUGGACUGAUUCUAAAACCAACAAACGUGGAAGAAAUAAAACACGGCCUAUAAAAAUGAAAAACAACUUUCCUUUUUUAAAUUAGUACGAUUUAACUUUUCAUAUUUUAAUAGUUAACAAUGUUGUCACUGAACAUAAUUUAUUGCGUUAGCCAUUUUUGUCGGAUAUUCAGCAAUUAUUAUGGUCAUUAAUUUCAUCAAAGAACCUUGGUCAGCAUAUAUAUUUUUAUAAGAGACUCGCCGACUACAUAAACAGAUACAAAAUGAUAAUACUUCAAAGAGGAAGAUGAAAUGCAACGAGCAGCAAGUCCUACCAUUUACACGUAUUAUAAUUAUUCAACAAAAUUAAUUACUAAUAAAAAAUAUUAAUUAUGAUUUAUCAC